CCAGCAGCCGCGGUAAUUCCAGCUCCAAUAGCGUAUAUUAAAGUUGUUGCAGUUAAAACGCUCGUAGUCGCAGGUGGUGGGGGGUAGUGGGUUGGCCGGAUGGUUGAUUUACGGCCCCCUAUUUUUGGAGCCUAACCGCUCCGGUUACUUUGAGGAAAUUAGAGUGUUCAUGGCAAGUCUUUGGAUACUGCAGCAUGGAAUAACGGAAGAGGAUUUGCAUCCUGUUUUGUUGGUUUGGGGGUGUGAGUAAUGAUGGAUAGGGGCAGUUGGGGGCAUUAGUAUUUGGCAGCUAGAGGUGAAAUUCUUGGAUUUGCCAAAGACUAACUGGUGCGAAAGCGUUUGCCAAGGAUGUUUUCAUUGAUCAAGAACGAAAGU
This 375-nucleotide ribosomal RNA is filed under the name uncultured eukaryote. RNAcentral describes it as "SSU rRNA". It matches the Rfam family "Eukaryotic small subunit ribosomal RNA", at positions 567 to 990 of the family's 1831-position model. The record is from RNAcentral.